GAUGAACGCUGGCGGCGUGCCUAAUACAUGCAAGUCGAGCGAACGGACGAGAAGCUUGCUUCUCUGAUGUUAGCGGCGGACGGGUGAGUAACACGUGGAUAACCUACCUAUAAGACUGGGAUAACUUCGGGAAACCGGAGCUAAUACCGGAUGAUAUUUUGAACCGCAUGGUUCAAAAGUGAAAGACGGUCUUGCUGUCACUUAUAGAUGGAUCCGCGCUGCAUUAGCUAGUUGGUAAGGUAACGGCUUACCAAGGCAACGAUGCAUAGCCGACCUGAGAGGGUGAUCGGCCACACUGGAACUGAGACACGGUCCAGACUCCUACGGGAGGCAGCAGUAGGGAAUCUUCCGCAAAGGGCGAAAGCCUGACGGAGCAACGCCGCGUGAGUGAUGAAGGUCUUCGGAUCGUAAAACUCUGUUAUUAGGGAAAAACAUAUGUGUAAGUAACUGUGCACAUCUUGACGGUACCUAAUCAGAAAGCCACGGCUAACUACGUG
RNAcentral lists this ribosomal RNA (497 nucleotides) under uncultured bacterium. RNAcentral's name for it is "partial 16S ribosomal RNA". It matches the Rfam family "Bacterial small subunit ribosomal RNA", at positions 28 to 507 of the family's 1533-position model. The record is from RNAcentral.